GUCUUAGUAGCUUAAAAUGGUAAAGCGUUGUCGUUGUAACACAAAGAAGGUCACCUCCCUAGGACU
This 66-nucleotide transfer RNA is filed under the name Pedipes pedipes. RNAcentral describes it as "tRNA-Thr". The record is from RNAcentral. Lineage: Eukaryota; Metazoa; Mollusca; Gastropoda; Ellobiida; Ellobiidae.